RNAcentral lists this ribosomal RNA (497 nucleotides) under uncultured bacterium. RNAcentral's name for it is "partial 16S ribosomal RNA". It matches the Rfam family "Bacterial small subunit ribosomal RNA", at positions 28 to 507 of the family's 1533-position model. The record is from RNAcentral.
GAUGAACGCUGGCGGCGUGCCUAAUACAUGCAAGUCGAGCGAACAGACGAGGAGCUUGCUCCCCUGACGUUAGCGGCGGACGGGUGAGUAACACGUGGAUAACCUAUCUAUAAGACUGGGAUAACUUCGGGAAACCGGAGCUAAUACCGGAUAAUAUAUUGAACCGCAUGGUUCAAUAGUGAAAGACGAUUUUGCUGUCACUUAUAGAUGGAUCCGCGCCGCAUUAGCUAGUUGGUAAGGUAACGGCUUACCAAGGCGACGAUGCGUAGCCGACCUGAGAGGGUGAUCGGCCACACUGGAACUGAGACACGGUCCAGACUCCUACGGGAGGCAGCAGUAGGGAAUCUUCCGCAAUGGGCGAAAGCUUGACGGAGCAACGCCGCGUGAGUGAUGAAGGUCUUCGGAUCGUAAAACUCUGUUAUUAGGGAAGAACAAAUGUGUAAGUAACUAUGCGCGUCUUGACGGUACCUAAUCAGAAAGCCACGGCUAACUACGUG